This 392-nucleotide unclassified non-coding RNA is filed under the name uncultured fungus. RNAcentral's name for it is "partial contains small subunit ribosomal RNA, internal transcribed spacer 1, and 5.8S ribosomal RNA". The stretch from base 1 to 73 matches the Rfam family "Eukaryotic small subunit ribosomal RNA", at positions 1759 to 1831 of the family's 1831-position model. Lineage: Eukaryota; Fungi. The record is from RNAcentral.
GCAAACUUGGUCAUUUAGAGGAAGUAAAAGUCGUAACAAGGUUUCCGUAGGUGAACCUGCGGAAGGAUCAUUAUUGAAUUUAUCUGGUCUGAGUUGUUGCUGGCUCCUUGAGCAAUGUGUGCACGCUCAUUCCAAUAUUUUUAACCACCUGUGAACCCUUGAUAUAGACCCGAAGCCACCAUCUUCAAACUGUGGUUUGGCUUGGAGGAUCGCUGUGCAAAUGAAAAAUAAGCCAGCUUUUUUGCUCCACUUGGCUCGGGUUUAUAUUUUUUUUCUACAAACACCUAUGAUGUAUUAGAAGGAUGUGAAUACAGGCUUUUUUGGCCUUUAUUAAAACAAAUACAACUUUCAACAACGGAUCUCUUGGCUCUCGCAUCGAUGAAGAACGCAGC